AGUGAACGCUGGCGGUAGGCCUAACACAUGCAAGUCGAACGGCAGCACAGUAAGAGCUUGCUCUUACGGGUGGCGAGUGGCGGACGGGUGAGGAAUACAUCGUAAUCUACUUUUUCGUGGGGGAUAACGUAGGGAAACUUACGCUAAUACCGCAUACGACCUACGGGUGAAAGCAGGGGAUCUUCGGACCUUGCGCGAUUGAAUGAGCCGAUGUCGGAUUAGCUAGUUGGCGGGGUAAAGGCCCACCAAGGCGACGAUCCGUAGCUGGUCUGAGAGGAUGAUCGGCCACACUGGAACUGAGACACGGUCAAGACUCCUACGGGAGGCAGCAGUGGGGAAUAUUAGGCAAUGGGCGCAAGCCUGAUCCAGCCAUACCGCGUGGGUGACGAAGGCCUUCGGGUUGUAAAGCCCUUUUGUUGGGAAAGAAAAGCAGCAGGUUAAUACCCCGCUGUUCUGACGGUACCCAAAGAAUAAGCACCGGCUAACUUCGUG
This 492-nucleotide ribosomal RNA is filed under the name uncultured bacterium. Its description in RNAcentral is "partial 16S ribosomal RNA". It matches the Rfam family "Bacterial small subunit ribosomal RNA", at positions 29 to 507 of the family's 1533-position model. The record is from RNAcentral.